This 497-nucleotide ribosomal RNA is filed under the name uncultured bacterium. Its description in RNAcentral is "partial 16S ribosomal RNA". It matches the Rfam family "Bacterial small subunit ribosomal RNA", at positions 28 to 507 of the family's 1533-position model. The record is from RNAcentral.
GAUGAACGCUGGCGGCGUGCCUAAUACAUGCAAGUCGAGCGAACAGACGAGGAGCUUGCUCCUCUGACGUUAGCGGCGGACGGGUGAGUAACACGUGGAUAACCUACCUAUAAGACUGGGAUAACUUCGGGAAACCGGAGCUCAUACCGGAUAAUAUAUUGAACCGCAUGGUUCAAUAGUGAAAGACGGUUUUGCUGUCACUUAUAGAUGGAUCCGCGCCGCAUUAGCUAGUUGGUACGGUAACGGCUUACCAAGGCAACGAUGCGUAGCCGACCUGAGAGGGUGAUCGGCCACACUGGAACUGAGACACGGUCCAGACUCCUACGGGAGGCAGCAGUAGGGAAUCUUCCGCAAUGGGCGAAAGCCUGACGGAGCAACGCCGCGUGAGUGAUGAAGGUCUUCGGAUCGUAAAACUCUGUUAUUAGGGAAGAACAAAUGUGUAAGUAACUAUGCACGUCUUGACGGUACCUAAUCAGAAAGCCACGGCUAACUACGUG